AGGCGGACGGGUUAGUAACGCGCUGGGAACGUGCCCUUCUCUACGGAAUAGCCUCUGUAAACGGAGAGUAAUACCGUAUACGCCCUUUGGGGGAAAGAUUUAUCGGAGAAGGAUCGGCCCGCGUUAGAUUAGGUAGUUGGUGGGGUAACGGCCUACCAAGCCUACGAUCUAUAGCUGGUUUUAGAGGAUGAUCAGCAACACUGGGACUGAGACACGGCCCAGACUCCUACGGGAGGCAGCAGUGGGGAAUCUUAGACAAUGGGGGCAACCCUGAUCUAGCCAUGCCGCGUGAGUGAUGAAGGCCUUAGGGUCGUAAAGCUCUUUCGCCUGUGAUGAUAAUGACAGUAGCAGGUAAAGAAACCCCGGCUAACUCCGUGCCAGCAGCCGCGGUAAUACGGAGGGGGUUAGCGUUGUUCGGAAUUACCGGGCGUAAAGCGCGCGUAGGCGGAUUAGAAAGUUGGGGGUGAAAUCCCGGGGCUCAACCCCGGAACUGCCUCCAAAACUGCUAGUCUAGAGUUCGAGAGAGGUGAGUGGAAUUCCGAGUGUAGAGGUGAAAUUCGUAGAUAUUCGGAGGAACACCAGUGGCGAAGGCGGCUCACUGGCUCGAUACUGACGCUGAGGUGCGAAAGUGUGGGGAGCAAACAGGAUUAGAUACCCUGGUAG
Molecule: ribosomal RNA, 663 nt
Filed under: uncultured Phaeobacter sp.
Lineage: Bacteria; Pseudomonadati; Pseudomonadota; Alphaproteobacteria; Rhodobacterales; Roseobacteraceae
Description: bacterial SSU rRNA
Rfam family: Bacterial small subunit ribosomal RNA
Source: RNAcentral